RNAcentral lists this ribosomal RNA (1017 nucleotides) under Trialeurodes vaporariorum (greenhouse whitefly). Its description in RNAcentral is "partial small subunit ribosomal RNA". Lineage: Eukaryota; Metazoa; Arthropoda; Insecta; Hemiptera; Aleyrodidae. The record is from RNAcentral.
UAUUAAUUAAGUUUUGUUUUAGCUCUCAGUUAAGUUAAUUUAAAAGCUAUAUAAAUAGCCAAAAUUAAAAAACAUAUAAUUUAAUAGUUAGAAUUAAUAAACUGAGGAAACCCAGUAUUAGGACAAAUUAUAUAAAAUUAACAAAGUAUGUGCCAGCAGUUGCGGUUAUACAUACAAUUAUUUAACUUACAUUUUAAUAAAAUUAUAUUUAAUAAAAAGGCAAUUAGUGAAAAUUAAUAGGUAAAAUUUUAAAUAUUUAUUUUAAACGCCCAAAAGAUAAAGAUUAAAAAUCCCAGUAAAGUAAACUAGGAUUAGAUACCCUACUAUAUGAAAAAAAUAAAAACAAUAGAAUAGUAAAAGAUACAAACUUCAAAAUCAAAAAAUUUGGCGGUGCUUUAAUCUAAUUAGAGAAGUCUGUAAUAUAAUUGACACCCCACAAGUGAGCCCACUUUAAAUAAAAUAUACUUAUAUAUCGCUGUUAAUAUAAAAAUUAUAAAGUUAGUUUAUUAAAACAGACCAAUCAAUAAAUCAAGUCAAGAUAUAGUUUUAUAUAGAGAAAUAUAUGGACUACAUUUAUAUUAAAUAAAAUAGAAUUCAACCCAAAAGGAUGAAGAAAAAAGAAUUUAAAAGUAAAUAUUUUACACUAAAAUUUUAAAUUAGUAAUAAAGUAUGUACAAAUCGCCCGUCACUCUUAAAUAAAGCAAGAUAAGUCGUAACAAAGUAAGUUUACUGGAAAGUGAACUUAGAAAAAUAAAUAACUAAGGCAAGUUUAUCUCUUACAACGAUAAAAUGAUUAUAAAAAUCUUUAUUUAUAAGAAAGAAAAACAUAAUAUUAUAAAAAAAUAAAUAUAGUAAAUAAAAAGAAUUUAAAUAAUAAAAAAUCUAUAGUUAAUAAAAAAAGUAGUGAAAACAAAAGAAAAAAUUAAAAAAAAAGUUUACCUAUCUUGUCAUACCUUUUGUAUCAGGGUUAAUUAACUAAAUGGCAGAAGAAAUUUUCUCGAAAAAAAAAAGAAUUAU